RNAcentral lists this ribosomal RNA (279 nucleotides) under uncultured Staphylococcus sp. RNAcentral's name for it is "partial 16S ribosomal RNA". It matches the Rfam family "Bacterial small subunit ribosomal RNA", at positions 83 to 354 of the family's 1533-position model. Lineage: Bacteria; Bacillati; Bacillota; Bacilli; Caryophanales; Staphylococcaceae. The record is from RNAcentral.
CCUUUGACGUUAGCGGCGGACGGGUGAGUAACACGUGGGUAACCUACCUAUAAGACUGGGAUAACUUCGGGAAACCGGAGCUAAUACCGGAUAAUAUUUCGAACCGCAUGGUUCGAUAGUGAAAGGUGGUUUUGCUAUCACUUAUAGAUGGACCCGCGCCGUAUUAGCUAGUUGGUAAGGUAACGGCUUACCAAGGCGACGAUACGUAGCCGACCUGAGAGGGUGAUCGGCCACACUGGAACUGAGACACGGUCCAGACUCCUACGGGAGGCAGCAGNU